UACGCUCUCACGCCCGUCCUA
RNAcentral lists this microRNA (21 nucleotides) under Pristionchus pacificus. RNAcentral describes it as "ppc-miR-8296-3p". Lineage: Eukaryota; Metazoa; Nematoda; Chromadorea; Rhabditida; Neodiplogasteridae. The record is from miRBase by way of RNAcentral.